UACGUAGGGGGCAAGCGUUGUUCGGAAUUACUGGGCGUAAAGGGCGCGUAGGCGGCACGGCAAGUCAGGCGUGAAAGCCCUGGGCUCAACCCAGAAACUGCUUUUGAAACUGCCGAGCUAGAGUGCGGAAGGGGCAACUGGAAUUCCCAGUGUAGCGGUGAAAUGCGUAGAUAUUGGGAAGAACACCUGAGGCGAAGGCGGGUUGCUGGGCCGACACUGACGCUGAGUGCGCGAAAGCCAGGGGAGCGAACGGG
This 254-nucleotide ribosomal RNA is filed under the name uncultured bacterium. RNAcentral describes it as "partial 16S ribosomal RNA". It matches the Rfam family "Bacterial small subunit ribosomal RNA", at positions 524 to 776 of the family's 1533-position model. The record is from RNAcentral.